UAACAUUGCCCACUCCACGAAUAGAAUA
This 28-nucleotide non-coding RNA is filed under the name Bombyx mori (domestic silkworm). The record is from RNAcentral. Lineage: Eukaryota; Metazoa; Arthropoda; Insecta; Lepidoptera; Bombycidae.